CUUCACAAAAAUAUAUUGAUAAUUUCAUAUAUAUGAGCUAGAGAAAAAAAACUCACAUAUAAAGUUGCCAAGUUCCAGCUGGAGUUCAUGUCUACAGAAUCGAAUCUUCAGAUUGCCAGAAAUUCUCACUCCUUCGGGUGUCUUUUCUCAUUUUCGCCGUUAAAAAUGGUAUUCGUUCAAUUCCCUUUCGCUAAGAAGACGCAGUGUGCCAUUUAUUUGCAAAAUUCGUGCAGAAAAUGAAGAUUGAUCGGUUACUGCGCUUAAAAUCGCCGUUUUACUGCCAAAAUUGGGCUAUUCCAUUUAAUAUCCGUACCCCCCCUGUCGAGGAUCCCUGGAAUUCUUCAGGGGUAAAGGGUUUUGAGCUUGGAAUUCUUCAGGGGUAAAGUGUUUUGAGCUUGGAAUUCUUCAGGGGAAAAGUGUUUUGAGUUUGGAAUUCUUCAGGGGUAAAUGGUUUUGAGCUUGGAAUUCUUCAGGGGUAAAGGGUUUUGAGCUUGGAAUUCUUCAGGGGUAAAGAGGUUUGAGAUUGAAAUUUUUCAGAGCUUGGAAUUCUUCAGGGGUGAAGGGUUUUGAGCUUGGAAUUCUUCAGGGGUAAAAGGUUUUGAGCUUGAAAUUCUUCAGGGGUAAAGGGCUUUGAGCCUGGAAUUCUUUAGGGGUGAAGGGUUUUGAGCUUGGAAUUCUUCAGGGGUAAAAGGUUUUGAGCUUGGAAUUCUUCAGGGGUAAAGGGUUUUGAGCUUGGAAUUUUGGAAUUCUUCAGGGGUAAAAUGUUUUGAGCUUGGAAUUCUUCAGGGGUAAGGAGUUUUGAGCUUGGAAUUUUGGAAUUCUUCAGGGGUAAACAGUUUUGAGCUUGGAAUUCUUCAGGGGUAUGACAAUGAAAAACAUGUAUCCUCGACAGGGGGGUACGGAUAUUAAAUGGAAUAGCCCAUUUUGCAUUUCCCUAUCUUUUUCCUGAUAAAAAAUGUGCAUGACACUUGCCAGAGGGUCGCGCAUGCGCAUUAAAAAAGUGGGGACAUGAUUUGCCUCGAGUUCCGCC
Molecule: non-coding RNA, 1030 nt
Organism: Paramuricea clavata
Lineage: Eukaryota; Metazoa; Cnidaria; Anthozoa; Malacalcyonacea; Plexauridae
Source: the annotation of a GenBank genome assembly